CCACCAUUGAAAACAGAAUGUGAACUACUGUCCAGAAGCCCUCUGUGAACUUCAGGUCUGCCUUAGGAGGGACGCUUCCAGCGAGGGAGCGCGUGAUGAAGUCUGCAGGCAUUGCUGGGGCAACGCUAAGUGGCCGCUGGCCAGGGUAGAAGUUAAACCAGGAGAUGGCUGUCAAAUGCAGUUGUUAGGUGUGGCACAUCUUUCUCAAGCUGCUGAGCUGAGCAGGAAAGAGAGACGUUUGUUUAUGGAUUUAUCUCAUCUAUAAGACACUCUUAUUAGAUGAACUCUAUAUCAGUUCUAUGUAGAACUCUGUACCAGUUCUAUAAGGCACUCUUUAAUCUGAAUCUUUUUAUUUGCUCAAGAGAAAAAUAAGUCUGACUUGCAUCCCAUUGAAGAUUUAGAUUGCACUGUUUACAUCUUUCACCUGCGCCGCGGUAGCGUCCUCUACCGAUGCUAUCCUACGUUGAUUUUUCCAGCAACCUGGGAAGCAACCUCAUAGGUGGUUUGGGAUGUCUUUUGGCUGUGCUUAAAAAUUUCCAACAGAUUUGCUACACAUCUUAGGAUAAAUAUGUUUCCUGUGAAUUGUGAUGAUUUCUUACAGUACAUUUGCAAGCAUGUGUAUGCAUCUGCAGGAAACAUAGCCUGGCUCUGUGAAGGAAUACUGCUGUGACCGCAAAACUGUUUCUGUAGAAUUUUCUCCGGUGUGGUCAUCCUGCCUUCAGAGGUUUCUCCAGGACGUCACCUGUAUGAGGUACACAGUGUGAUGACACACUCUGUGCUUUUCCUACUUGUGUCCACGGCUCAAGCCUGGAAGAAGCCUUAGGACGUGGGGGAAAUGUCUAACGUGGAGUCCACCUGCUGAGCAGGACCGGGUGUGAAGGAAGAAGCUUUGUUCUGAUUCCUCAUGGCCCAGCCACCCCUCGCCUGAGCUGAGCCUGGCCACAGGGCCCGCCUGCAGGAAGGGCUGGCCCAUGGCUUCACACUGGGCUCAGGCUGCGCUAAGAGCCCCGGGUGAGGACCUCCAAGCCCAGGAAGCCUCAGUUGGCCAAAGUGCUAGAUGCGUGUGGUCUGCUUUCAUCCCCGCUUCCCUCAGAGCUUGCAUUUUCCAAAUUCAAGAGAGGCUCCACCUUCAAGAAGACCGGCCUGUCCCUGUUAUUUAUGUGUCCCCCUACCAUAUCUCCCUUUGUUCUGCAGAGCGGUACGCAUAAAAAGCUUUUGGGGA
RNAcentral lists this long non-coding RNA (1222 nucleotides) under Homo sapiens (human). RNAcentral describes it as "HSALNT0299209". The record is from RNAcentral. Lineage: Eukaryota; Metazoa; Chordata; Mammalia; Primates; Hominidae.